GAUGAACGCUGGCGGCGUGCCUAAUACAUGCAAGUCGAGCGAACGGACGAGAAGCUUGCUCCUCUGAUGUUAGCGGCGGACGGGAGAGUAACACGUGGAUAACCUACCUAUAAGACUGGGAUAACUUCGGGAAACCGUAGCUAAUACCGGAUAAUAUAUUGAACCUCAUGGUUCAAAAGUGAAAGACGGUCUUGCUGUCACUUAUAGAUUGCUCCGCGCUGCAUUAGCUAGUUGGUAAGGUAACGGCUUACCAAGGCAACGAUGCAUAGCCGACCUGAGAGGGUGAUCGGCCACACUGGAACUGAGACACGGUCCAGACUCCUACAGGAGGCAGCGGUAGGGAAUCUUACGCGAUGGGCGAAAGCCGGACAUAGCAACGCCGCGUGAGUGAUGAAGGUCUUCGGAUCGUAAAGCUCUGUUAGUAGGGAAGAACAAAUGUGUAAGUAACUGUGCACAUAUUGACGGUACCUGAUCAAAAAGCCACGGCUAACUACGUG
RNAcentral lists this ribosomal RNA (497 nucleotides) under uncultured bacterium. Its description in RNAcentral is "partial 16S ribosomal RNA". It matches the Rfam family "Bacterial small subunit ribosomal RNA", at positions 28 to 507 of the family's 1533-position model. The record is from RNAcentral.